CAAAACAAUGCAUAUGAUCCAUGAGAUCUUCCUUGUGAUAGAUAUACACAGUUUACAGCUGAUAUCUUAAAUCUCUAAAUUACAGAUUACUAAUGCACCAUCAUCUUCAAGUGGACAGGAUUUCUUUCUAAGGAGAAGAAAUGAGUGCAACUUAUCUACAGCCAGCAUUUUCACAACUGCAUCUUCAAACAGCUCCUAUUCCUCAGAUACUUUUAUGAAUGCUUGAUCAGCUACUUCAUAUUAACUAUAGUCUAGUUUAUUAAAUGUUAAACGAUGUUAGCUUUUCCAAAAGCAUUUCCUAAACUGCAAUUAUAUGAACUUCACUGAAAAAUUCACAGAUUUGAUAUUUAAUUAAGGAUACAUUUUAUAAUUAUAACAGUGGUGUGAUUGGAUGGGUCUAGAUUGGCUGUCCAUUUGGUAUUAUUAUAUUAUACACUGUUCUGUUCUGUCUGAUUUAUUUACAAAAUAAAAAAAUAAAACAAUAUAUUUAAUUGUUUCACUAACACCUCGUUACUUGAAAUUAAUAAUUAAAUAACUUGCUCUCUGGUAGCUUAUUCAAUUUCAUAGAUGCAGAGUUAAAGACCAUAAUGGUAAAUUAAAUGUUUAAAAAUAAUUUAUUUUAUUUUAUUCCCCCUCAGUAUGAGUCAUGAUGUAAUGUUAUUUUUUGGCCUGUACAACCUAGCUCCCACUGCUAAAUGUCAACCUCACUAACAUAAUAGACAUUCCUGGAAGUAUAGACACAAAUCUCUUGAAGUAUUAUUAUAUAAUUAUUUUAACUGAAGAAUUUGAAUGAAUUGUUUUUAAUAUUAAUUGCUAUUAAGUGCUAUUGGUGUUUUUUAUUAUUAUUGGUUAUAUUAAUUACUUACUUUACAGGAACUCCUAAUCCACAGCUGAUUUUAUUUGAAUUUGAAUGACCACACAGUCUGAAUUUUGCAUAUGUUUGCUGUGUGCCUUUCAUUUUGUUGAGGACACUUUUAGAUGAUCAUCAUUGGAUUAGUUACUGGUUUGACGUCAAUUUCUGAAUUUACUGUUAAGGAUGUAAAUUGUGGUGCUGCAGGUUUGUUUAUGUUGUUGCUCUGGUGCACUUCCUGAAAACAUUCCAAAAUAAAUUAAAAAAAUAAAUAAAUUAAAAAAAACUUUUCUAAACAC
Long non-coding RNA from Cyprinus carpio carpio, 1149 nucleotides. Lineage: Eukaryota; Metazoa; Chordata; Actinopteri; Cypriniformes; Cyprinidae. The record is from Ensembl.